AACAAUCAAGCUAUUAUGGGCAUUUUGGAGAGAACAGUACAUUUCAGUCUUUAGUUUGCUUCCUAUUUGAACCAGUGCUCACUUCUCAGUUUUGGGUCUGAGUUGAUUGCAUUUGUUUGUAAAGAUAAAGAGAGAAUGACACUAAGAAACAUUUGGAAAAGCCACAUGGAUAGAGAGCAGGACAUAAACUUUGCUUAGUUCUCACAAAGACACCAAUAGUAUAUAUUUUGCAGAUAGGAGGGUUGAGGUUACAAGAGGAAAACUAUCUUCCUCAGAUUCACAGAUCUGGGUGGUAGAGCUAACAGCCAACGCAAGUCUACUUGACCUUUGCCAGUAAUUCAUCCACCCGCUAGACAAGGUAGAACAUUUUGGAUUAAAGAAACUAUGUACGGAAAAUGUAUAGAUGCCAUAGUUGUCCAUAGAGAGAAUCUCUGAAAAUAUUUUUCAACAGAAUAAUACUGAAGCUCAAACCUGGUUUCUCUCUGAUCUUAACUCAAGGGCAAGAGCAAAAGUGAGAGAUCAUCAGAGAGGAGCAUCUACCAAGAAAAGAGACUAACCAACUGUGUGGCCUAAGAGGCAAGCUUCAUUUUCCUCUACUGGCCUGACAUCAUGCAUUUGACUCUUCCUUCUUACUCAGUGGGUGACGAUUUCAAAAGGGAAUCUCAUCUGCUAUCACUAUUGGAUUCAAAAGACUGUAUACUCCAUAUUCAGAGUCUUAUAAAAUUCUUUGUUAUACUUGAAUCUGGCAUUAAUUGCAAAAAUUGCUUUGUGCUUUUGUGAUUUUACAGUUCUAUAAUUAGCUAACAGGCAUUACACAUCAUCAAGAGGUCUAGGAAUUUGAGUUAAUAAUAAGCUCUACAGCUAGAAGUGAUGUCCACAGAACAGCCAGACUAGUGACACAGACCAUACAUGUUUUAUUCUUGGUUCCUCUUGAAAUUUUGGGAAGGAUGACUAAUUAAAAAAAAAAGUGAAACUAAAUAAAAAUUAAGGAGGAAAGGCCAUCAUUGGAAAAGGAAUGUCAGAUCAUUUCAUGACCAGGAUAAAGUUCACUUCAAUUUAAGGAAUUCCUUCAACUCAAGCAUGUAUUUUUUCACUUACUUAAUGAAUAUUUACUGAGCUUUCAUUGUGUUCUUUAUAAAGAUCCAGAUCCUGGGUGACAAUUUAAAACAGGGUAAUAAGGGAAGGUCUCCAUCUCAAAGUAUCAUUUGAGCAAAUUAUAUGAAAUAAGGAAAAAAGUCAUGCAGGUAUGUGUGUGCACACACAUGUACACAUGUGAAAAAUUACAAGUAAGUGGGGUAGUAAGCAUGAAGGACCUCGGUCGGAAGAGUCACAGUGCACUUUGGGAAAAGCAUAGUGGCCAAAUGAGGUUAUGAUAAAUUUAGCAAGUGGGAGAGUGGUAAGAAGCAUAGGUGGUCAACAGGGACUGAAUCACAUAAAACUUGCAGGACACUAUAAAGGCUUUGAGUUUUAUUGUAAGUUACAAGGUUAAAGAACCACUGGAAGGUUUUAGCUUUGAGGGGAUCCAUGUUUUUUCCUCUGCUGAGAUUAGACUGUGACAGGCUGGAAGGGCAAAAGCAGGCAGUCUUCAUAGGCAGAGUUCGUAGUUAUCUAGAAGACAGAGGAUGAGGAUAAGGCCAAAGUAAAAGUGUGAUCCCUGCAUCCAUUGUCAUUGGAGAGUAACUGAGGGUGACAUCUUUGCUUCAUUUGGGCCACUUUCCAUCUUUUACAUCUAGCGAUAUUUGUUGAUGUAUGGUCUGCCAUUUUUUAAAGUUUACCACUUCCCCACUUAUUUUUGAAUCCUUAAAAUACUAUUUUCCAUAACAGCAUCAAAGCAAUGCUGCCGUGUGAUAAUCUUU
This 1856-nucleotide long non-coding RNA is filed under the name Marmota monax (woodchuck). The record is from RNAcentral. Lineage: Eukaryota; Metazoa; Chordata; Mammalia; Rodentia; Sciuridae.